GGAGAAGUACCCAAGAGGCUGAAGGGGCUGGCUUGGAAAGCUAGUAGGUCUGUAAAAGGGCGCAGGGGUUCGAAUCCCCUUUUCUCCGCCA
RNAcentral lists this transfer RNA (91 nucleotides) under Tenericutes bacterium HGW-Tenericutes-5. Its description in RNAcentral is "tRNA-Ser". It matches the Rfam family "tRNA". From Rfam's summary of the family: Transfer RNA (tRNA) molecules are approximately 80 nucleotides in length. Their secondary structure includes four short double-helical elements and three loops (D, anti-codon, and T loops). Lineage: Bacteria; Bacillati; Mycoplasmatota. The record is from RNAcentral. RNAcentral also lists the same sequence under 1 other name.